This 809-nucleotide ribosomal RNA is filed under the name uncultured Megasphaera sp. RNAcentral's name for it is "bacterial SSU rRNA". It matches the Rfam family "Bacterial small subunit ribosomal RNA", at positions 66 to 846 of the family's 1533-position model. The record is from RNAcentral. Lineage: Bacteria; Bacillati; Bacillota; Negativicutes; Veillonellales; Veillonellaceae.
GCGUAGAGAAAGCUUGCUUUUUCUACAAUCUAGUGGCAAACGGGUGAGUAACGCGUAAACAACCUGCCCUACGGAUGGGGACAACAGCUGGAAACGGCUGCUAAUACCGAAUACGUUCCGAAAGUCGCAUGACUGUCGGAAGAAAGGAUGGCCUCUAUUUAUAAGCUAUCGCCGGAGGAGGGGUUUGCGUCUGAUUAGCUAGUUGGAGGGGUAACGGCCCACCAAGGCGACGAUCAGUAGCCGGUCUGAGAGGAUGAACGGCCACAUUGGAACUGAGACACGGUCCAGACUCCUACGGGAGGCAGCAGUGGGGAAUCUUCCGCAAUGGGCGAAAGCCUGACGGAGCAACGCCGCGUGAGUGAAGACGGCCUUCGGGUUGUAAAGCUCUGUUAUACGGGACGAAUAAUCUUGUGGUUAAUACCCAUGAGAAGUGACGGUACCGUAAGAGGAAGCCACGGCUAACUACGUGCCAGCAGCCGCGGUAAUACGUAGGUGGCAAGCGUUGUCCGGAAUUAUUGGGCGUAAAGGGCGCGCAGGCGGCUUCUUAAGUCUGUCUUAAAAGUGCGGGGCUUAACCCCGUGAUGGGAUGGAAACUGGGAAGCUCAGAGUAUCGGAGAGGAAAGCGGAAUUCCUAGUGUAGCGGUGAAAUGCGUAGCUAUUAGGAGGAACACCAGUGGCGAAAGCGGCUUUCUGGACGAAAACUGACGCUGAGGCGCGAAAGCCAGGGGAGCGAACGGGAUUAGAUACCCCGGUAGUCCUGGCCGUAAACGAUGGGUACUAGGUGUAGGAGGUAUCGACCCCUUCUGUGC